CAAGCAAGUGAUGAAAGCAACUCACCAUUCAUUCCACCUACCAGAAGAUGAGUGGUACAAUUUAUACAUGUGAACUCCUAGCAUUCACAAAUAAUAAAAAAUCCUCAAGCUUGACAACUCAACUAGGGGAGCACUUAUGCCCAACAAGAGUUAUAGUCACCAACAAAGUCUUAUUGCAAGCCAACAACACCUUCAGUGCAUGACAUACGAAGAUCAAGCUAUUCAGCCCUCUUGCAUCUGCUUUAGACAUCUCCCCUCUGUAACAAUGCAAACACUACAACUCAUAGAAAGCUUCACAUACUCUUUAUUAAGACAGUGUGAAGCAAAACCAAUUUAUGGUGCCAACAAGAGCUUCAUCAAUGCAGGGCAACCACAAUUCUCAAAAGCUUCACACACUCUUGAUCAAGAUAGUGUGAAGCAAAACCAAUUUAUAGUGCCAACAAGAGCUUCAUCAAAGGAGUUCACCCCAUUUCUCAAAAGCUACACACACUCUUGAUCAAGACAGUGUGAAGCAAAACCAAUUUAUGGUGCCAACAAGAGCUUCAUUAAAGGAGUUCAACCACAAUUCUUAAAAGCUUCACACAUUUUUUAUCCAGACAGUGUGAAGCAAAACCAAUUUAUGGUGCCAAUAAGAGCUUCAUCAAUGGAGAGCGACCACAAUUCUCAAAAGCUUCACACACUCUUGAUCAAGACAGUGUGAAGCAAAACCAAUUUAUGAUGCCAACAAAAGCUUCAUCAAAGGAGUUCAACCACAAUUCUCAAAAGCUUCACACACUCUUGAUCAAGACAGUGUGAAGCAAAACCAAUUUAUGGUGCCAACAAAAGCUUCAUCAAUGGAAGGCAACUACAAUUCUAAAACCUUUGAAGCAAAUUCAAUUUUUAUGGUUCAUCCAAACCAUCGACUACUACAAGGUGUGACUUGCAUCACAAUCUCUUGCUCAACAGUGUGGAAGCAAAAUUUGUAUAUGUUGUCUUUUCCACAUUUUCAAAUUUCUAGUUUCCCAAAAAAAAAAAAAAAGGGAAAUUCAACAAAGCUUCAUCAAUGGAGGAUAACUACAAAUUCUCAAAAGCUUCACACUAUCUUGAUCAAGAUAGUGUGAAGCAAAAUCAAUUCGUGGUACCUAACAAAGCUUCACCAAGAAAAGCAUUAUCAAUGGAGGACAACUACAAAUUCUCAAAAGCUUCACACUAUCUU
This 1195-nucleotide long non-coding RNA is filed under the name Malus domestica (apple). Its description in RNAcentral is "long non-coding RNA (MDOM_LNC014607)". Lineage: Eukaryota; Viridiplantae; Streptophyta; Magnoliopsida; Rosales; Rosaceae. The record is from RNAcentral.